CAAACUCAUGCAUAUAAUUUCUUACUUGUGAUGUACAAGCCCAAACCUGCUUGAGCCCAUUCAGUAAUAAAAAACCAAAUAAAAUGAAAGUCCAAUAACAAGUAGUCCAAGUUACAAAUAAAAAACCAAAAUAAAACCGACCCAAAAUAAACAACUUAAGCCAAACCCAAUCCUUAGGCCAAAAAAAACCCCAACCCAAUUACAUCAAAAUUUCAGAAACCCCUAGGGUUUCUGGAACAGUCCAGGCGCCAUUCCUCCUUUGUACACACCAGCCCUACGCACGUCACACCAGGUCCACGUGCACCUCCACUCCAGCUGGCCUCUGUACACCUGCAACAAAUGCAAACGACAACAAAGAAACGAAGGGAAGAGGCCGUAAAAAUCGUAACAAUAACAGAAAGUACAGAUAAUAACAAAGAAAAAAUAAUAAGUUUUCUGUAAUUUUUAUUUUUUGAUAUUAUUUGGCUAUAUAAAGCCAUUGGAAAAUCUGUAAAAAGGGGAUUCAAAAAAAUCAAUAGAGGAGGACGAAUAGCAGUUUUUUAAGAGGUGAUUUGCUGAUUUCUAUUAUAUUCUCAUUUGAUUUAUUUUAUUUUAUUUUAUUUUUGAAUUAAAAGAAAAGGAGAAGGAUGUGCCUUCAUGGGUGCGCCAAUGAAGCCUUCAUCCCCUCUGUGCGAAUCGGAGCUGGAUGGACGGAGGCCUUGGAAUUAAAACGGUAGAGAACAGCGAGACUUGAGGCAGUGAUAGGUUUUUUUCUUCUGCGUUUUCAAAUGACAAAACAUUUGGAUUUAGGUUUUUUUUUUACUUUUAAAUCGU
Molecule: long non-coding RNA, 813 nt
Filed under: Gossypium barbadense (sea-island cotton)
Lineage: Eukaryota; Viridiplantae; Streptophyta; Magnoliopsida; Malvales; Malvaceae
Description: long non-coding RNA (GBAR_LNC013390)
Source: RNAcentral